AAGUGUGGACGCCAGUCUGCAUGGAGCCGACCUUGAAAUACCACCCUUUAAUGUUUGAUGUUCUAACGUGGACCCGUAAUCCGGGUUGCGGACAGUGUCUGGUGGGUAGUUUGACUGGGGCGGUCUCCUCCUAAAGAGUAACGGAGGAGCACGAAGGUUGGCUAAUCCUGGUCGGACAUCAGGAGGUUAGUGCAAUGGCAUAAGCCAGCUUGACUGCGAGCGUGACGGCGCGAGCAGGUGCGAAAGCAGGUCAUAGUGAUCCGGUGGUUCUGAAUGGAAGGGCCAUCGCUCAACGGAUAAAAGGUACUCCGGGGAUAACAGGCUGAUACCGCCCAAGAGUUCAUAUCGACGGCGGUGUUUGGCACCUCGAUGUCGGCUCAUCACAUCCUGGGGCUGAAGUAGGUCCCAAGGGUAUGGCUGUUCGCCAUUUAAAGUGGUACGCGAGCUGGGUUUAGAACGUCGUGAGACAGUUCGGUCCCUAUCUGCCGUGGGCGCUGGAGAACUGAGGGGGGCUGCUCCUAGUACGAGAGGACCGGAGUGGACGCAUCACUGGUGUUCGGGUUGUCAUGCCAAUGGCACUGCCCGGUAGCUAAAUGCGGAAGAGAUAAGUGCUGAAAGCAUCUAAGCACGAAACUUGCCCCGAGAUGA
Molecule: ribosomal RNA, 648 nt
Filed under: Salmonella enterica
Lineage: Bacteria; Pseudomonadati; Pseudomonadota; Gammaproteobacteria; Enterobacterales; Enterobacteriaceae
Description: partial 23S ribosomal RNA
Rfam family: Bacterial large subunit ribosomal RNA
Source: RNAcentral